UUUCCAGACUCCUACGGGAGGCAGCAGUGGGGAAUAUUGCACAAUGGAGGAAACUCUGACCCAGCAACGCCGCGUGAAUGAUGAAGGUCUUCGGAUUGUAAAGUUCUUUUCUAAGGGAAGAAGAAAGUGACGGUACCUUAGGAAUAAGCCUCGGCUAACUACGUGCCAGCAGCCGCGGUAAUACGUAGGAGGCAAGCGUUAUCCGGAAUGACUGGGCGUAAAGGGUGCGUAGGUGGUUCAGCAAGUUAGUAGCGUAACUCCGGAGCUCAACUUCGGCACUACUACUAAAACUGUUGGACUUGAGUGCAGGAGGGGCAACUGGAAUUCCUAGUGUAGCGGUGGAAUGCGUAGAUAUUAGGAAGAACACCGGUGGCGAAGGCGAGUUGCUGGACUGUAACUGACACUGAGGCACGAAAGCGUGGGGAGCAAACAGGAUUAGAUACCCCGGUAAA
Molecule: ribosomal RNA, 452 nt
Filed under: uncultured bacterium
Lineage: Bacteria
Description: bacterial SSU rRNA
Rfam family: Bacterial small subunit ribosomal RNA
Source: RNAcentral